Molecule: ribosomal RNA, 313 nt
Filed under: Trichomonas vaginalis G3
Lineage: Eukaryota; Parabasalia; Trichomonadida; Trichomonadidae
Description: 5.8S ribosomal RNA
Rfam family: Eukaryotic small subunit ribosomal RNA (bases 1-137)
Source: RNAcentral
GCCCGUCGCUCCUACCGAUUGGAUGACUCGGUGAAAUCACCGGAUGCUUACGAGCAGAAAGUGAUUAAAUCACGUUAUCUAGAGGAAGGAGAAGUCGUAACAAGGUAACGGUAGGUGAACCUGCCGUUGGAUCAGUUCUAGUUUUAAUAACUAACACCAACUUCUUUUAUUAAACAAAAACCAAUACAAAAUUAAAAACUAACUUCAUCAAAAACCAAGUCUCUAAGCAAUGGAUGUCUUGGCUCCUCACACGAUGAAGAACGUGGCAUAAUGUGUUAAGUAACCGGGAGUUGCAAACAUCAUGACAGGUUAA